Long non-coding RNA from Ficedula albicollis (Collared flycatcher), 1924 nucleotides. Lineage: Eukaryota; Metazoa; Chordata; Aves; Passeriformes; Muscicapidae. The record is from Ensembl.
GGGGGGGGGGGGGGGGGGGGGGGGGGGGGGGGGGGGGGGGGGGGGGGGGGGGGGGGGGGGGGGGGGGGGGCCCGGCGUCUGCGGGGGAGGAGCGGCGCUGGCCGGGGCGCCCAGCGCCAGGAACGCGUCGUCCCCUCGUUGGGGGUACGGGACCUGCGGGGCCCCGCGGCACAGCCCCGGCGGAAAGGCGAGAGCAAAGUACCCCAAGUCCAUGACCCACGGGGCAGCACCGCGCCCCGCCGGGGCAGUACUGCCCUAAUAUCGGCCCUGGAGCGGGGCAAUGGCAGCCCGGAGGGGGAGCUCACGCCGGGGGUACCGGGCGCCCCCAGUUCCCCUGUCCGCUGCCCAGGUGCGCAGUCCCGCCGCUUCGCACCGGGAUUCCCCGGCACAGGCCCUUCCCUGCACUCGACGGAGCCGCCGCACUCUUGGGAUGCUCGCCGGGAGUUUGGGAGAAUGGCAGGAAACAGCAGCAAGGUGAAGGAGGUGAAAUCUGGACUCUCAAAGUGAUCAUCUUUCCCUAAAUAUCUCCAAGUGACACUUGAGCAUCCAGUCUGAGCCACGCCGAUGUUUGAUUUGGAUGAUGAUGGGUUUGAGCCAAUGCCUCGGCUGAUAACCACAUGCCAGUGCAGUUCAGAACAGCAGAAGGGUGUGCUGAGCAAAGUACACCUGGGCUUUGGUGACUUGGGACUGGACAUACAAGGAACACGAAGAAGGGCUACAUCAUGCUGCUUUGAAUUAGACUUGCAACCUUCUAAUUCUUAGUAGGUGGAAGUGUAGUCAGCUGGGAAAUGCAAGGGUUGUACUCUAUUUUAACAAUCUAUUUUAUUUCUAAAUAAAAGCAUGAGAUUUAUUUGCCUUCAUCCAUCAUCCAGUGCCUUCCACUCAACAGCUCAAGGAGCUCUACAAGCUCUUGGCCAUGGUUGCAUUUGCUGUGGUCAGGAAGAGGCCACAAAUUUUACAAGGACCAAGCAUGGUGCCAACCUCAUGAAGGCAAGCAGAAACCCCAGAGAAGGAAACGUUCCACUGGGUCUCCUGGGGAUUUAAGGGGGCUGGACUGGUGACAGAAAAAGUAUAUAAUGGGGAGGCAUAACCAGACCAUUUCACUGACUCAGUAUCAACUCCUUCCCAUGGAGAUUUGUGCUCUGCAGCUCAGCUCCAUCAUUAUACCCAGCUGAUUAAUCCAGAGCAGAUCUGUUUGGUUUUUUUCCUGCAGGGGCCCUGAGAGGACACAUUGCUGGGACAGGCAUACACAAGCCUGCAAAGAUACAGGAGCAUUGCCCAGCACAGGGAUGCUGGUCAGUGACAGGGCCUCCUAUCCAGCCCCACUUUCUCCCCAGCUAAUAUUGUUCAUCUACUAUAAAACAAUUAUUACAGAGCAAAGACUGUCUGUACGGAUUAUGUCUUUAGGAUGCUUGAACUUUGAGUCUACAGACACAGCAGUCACUGAAAUCUCAGAGCCCUGAAGCUCAGUGCUCUCCUGGCACAGCCUUGUUCACUGUGAUGGGCUGUGCUGCCCUGAUACACUAAUAACGGAGUAUCACCUAAAUUUAUAUUUUCAGGGGAUGCGGGUAAAAAUUAGAACAUCUUAAAUCAAAUGCACUUUGUCAGGAAACAUACAUUUUGAGGAAGGUGUUAAAUUCUGGAUGAUGCAAACUUUCUCAGCAUUCCCAUGGCAAUCAGAGCAGUUUGGAAAAUGUUAUCAUCUGAAAAAUCAGAAGCCUGGGAACACCAGGUUUUCUCUUUAGCAGAGAAUGGCUGUCCAUGCAGGAGAGCAUCUGUGCUCUUCAUCUCCCCUGCUGUAAAAAUUCCUGCCUGCAGUGAAGGAAAGAAAAUUGGCUCCAGAGCAGGGCUACUGCUUUACUUGAGGCUUGUGUUUGCAGAAUGCAACUGGUUUAAUUACACCUAAGACUGUUUUAAGUGCUAG